AUUGAACGCUGGCGGCAUGCCUUACACAUGCAAGUCGAACGGCAGCACGGGGGCAACCCUGGUGGCGAGUGGCGAACGGGUGAGUAAUGCAUCGGAACGUGCCCAGUAGUGGGGGAUAACUAGUCGAAAGAUUAGCUAAUACCGCAUACGACCUAUGGGUGAAAGCGGGGGAUGCAGCACUUAAUGUUUUGGGAUGGCUACUUGUGGCCGCCUCGGGACAGCUCAGGUUGAGAACAUUAAGUGCUGCACCUCGCGCUAUCGGAGCGGCCGAUGUCUGAUUAGCUAGUUGGCGGGUAAAAGCCCACCAAGGCGACGAUCAGUAGCUGGUCUGAGAGGACGACCAGCCACACUGGGACUGAGAC
This 362-nucleotide ribosomal RNA is filed under the name uncultured bacterium. RNAcentral describes it as "bacterial SSU rRNA". It matches the Rfam family "Bacterial small subunit ribosomal RNA", at positions 30 to 325 of the family's 1533-position model. The record is from RNAcentral.